GAUGAACGCUAGCGGCAGGCCUAACACAUGCAAGUCGAGGGGUAGGGUUAGCUUGCUAACUUGAGACCGGCGCACGGGUGCGUAACGCGUAUGCAAUCUACCUUGUACAGGGGGAUAGCCCAGGGAAAUUUGGAUUAAUACCCCAUGGUGUUAUGAUGUGGCAUCACAUUAUAACUAAAGUUCCAACGGUACAAGAUGAGCAUGCGUCCCAUUAGCUAGUUGGUGUGUUAACGGCAUACCAAGGCAAUGAUGGGUGGGGGUCCUUAGAGGGAGAGCUCCCAGACUGGUACUGAGAUACGGACCAGACUCCGACGGGAGGCAGCAGUGAGGAAUAUUGGUCAAUGGGCGUAAGCCUGAACCAGCCAUGCCGCGUGCAGGAUGACGGUCCUAUGGAUUGUAAACUGCUUUUAUACGGGAAGAAACACUCCUACGUGUAGGAACUUGACGUUACCGUAAGAAUAAGGAUCGGCUAACUCCGUGCCAGCCGCCGCGGUAA
Molecule: ribosomal RNA, 496 nt
Filed under: uncultured bacterium
Lineage: Bacteria
Description: partial 16S ribosomal RNA
Rfam family: Bacterial small subunit ribosomal RNA
Source: RNAcentral